This 387-nucleotide unclassified non-coding RNA is filed under the name Drosophila lini. RNAcentral describes it as "partial miscellaneous RNA". Lineage: Eukaryota; Metazoa; Arthropoda; Insecta; Diptera; Drosophilidae. The record is from RNAcentral.
AGACUAUGCAAAAUAAGUUGUUCAUAAAUUUCAUUUAAUGAAUUUUAUAAGCACAUGGUAUAUUAUUGGAUAUAAUAAUUAUUAAUUAUUGUAUUCAUAAUAUUAAAAAUUAUAUGAAAAACAUUAUUCUCACAUUGUUGUAAAUAUUUGAAUGUGAAAACGAAGAGAAAUAUUUUCUUUUUUUUUAAUCAAAUAAUACUGAGAAAUGUCUAGCAUAAAAAAUAUGAAAAUAUUUUUCAUCUAGAAUUGUCUCUUAUUAAUGAUGAAAAAAUUGAAAAACGUUGUAAAUGUUAUUAUUCUUCGUUGUGUUUGUCAAUAAUAAAAUGGCAAAUUUAAAAUGUAAUGUUAUUUCUAUAUAAAAAGAAUUAAUGCAAACAAAUGUUUUAU